GACUUAUCGUCUCGCGAAUGCUNUCAAUNAUUUAUGAUCAUGGCUCAGAGUGAACGCUGGCGGUUAAGCCUAACACAUUGCAAGUCGAACGGCAGCACAGGAGAGCUUGCUCUCUGGGUGGCGAGUGGCGGACGGGUGAGGAAUACAUCGGAAUCUACUUUUUCGUGGGGGAUAACGUAGGGAAACUUACGCUAAUACCGCAUACGACCUACGGGUGAAAGCAGGGGAUCUUCGGACCUUGCGCGAUUGAAUGAGCCGAUGUCGGAUUAGCUAGUUGGCGGGGUAAAGGCCCACCAAGGCGACGAUCCGUAGCUGGUCUGA
RNAcentral lists this ribosomal RNA (321 nucleotides) under uncultured bacterium. Its description in RNAcentral is "partial 16S ribosomal RNA". It matches the Rfam family "Bacterial small subunit ribosomal RNA", at positions 1 to 295 of the family's 1533-position model. The record is from RNAcentral.